CCUAAUUGCACACGUCAGAUCUACUCCAUGGAAAUCCAGAAUAAACAGGAUGACUCCAGCCUUCUUUAAUGGACGGGAAAAAAAAGCUGCUUUGUUCAGCAGACUGUAAUUAUUAACUAUUUUUAUCUGAAGAACCUUCAGAGGACACUCUAUCUACAAAUCUAACAACAGAACCUUAAAUCAAAGACUUCUAAAAUAUUGAUGGUGCUGGAAUGGCUUGGCGGUCGGGAACAUUUUUAACUCUGGGGGAUUUUUUCUUUUUUAAAAGCUUACUUAACUGAGUUGGAUGUUUUCUUCGCAGGGCCCCGAUGGCCCACCAGGAAAGCCGGGCCUCCCUGGAGAGAUGGGAAAGCUUGGCGAACGAGCCGAAGCUGGGCCGAAGGGAUUUCCAGUAAGUGAUUGGGGCUAACAGAGGUCCGUUUUAGGGUGUUCAGGGACCCUCGGGACCUCCCGGAGCCAAAGGAAUUGCAGGGGAGCCUGUGAGUUGUUUAUGUGCCUCCGUGAGUGGAUCCUAUUUUGGUUCCACAGCUGAAUAUAAACCU
This 542-nucleotide long non-coding RNA is filed under the name Echeneis naucrates (live sharksucker). RNAcentral describes it as "lncRNA (ENSENLG00000001726.1)". The record is from RNAcentral. Lineage: Eukaryota; Metazoa; Chordata; Actinopteri; Carangiformes; Echeneidae.